GACGAACGCUGGCGGCGUGCUUAACACAUGCAAGUCGAACGGAAAGGCCCUGCUUUUGUGGGGUGCUCGAGUGGCGAACGGGUGAGUAACACGUGAGUAACCUGCCCUUGACUUUGGGAUAACUUCAGGAAACUGGGGCUAAUACCGGAUAGGAGCUCCUGCUGCAUGGUGGGGGUUGGACAGUUUCGGCGGUUGGGGAUGGACUCGCGGCUUAUCAGCUUGUUGGUGGGGUAGUGGCUUACCAAGGCGUUGACGGGUAGCCGGCCUGAGAGGGUGACCGGCCACAUUGGGACUGAGAUACGGCCCAGACUCCUACGGGGGGCAGCGGUGGGGAAUAUUGCACAAUGGGCGGAAGCCUGAUGCAGCAACGCCGCGUGCGGGAUAACGGCCUUCGGGUUGUAAACCGCUUUCGCCUGUGACGAAGCGUGAGUGACGGUAAUGGGUAAAGAAGCACGGGCUAACUACGUG
This 468-nucleotide ribosomal RNA is filed under the name uncultured bacterium. Its description in RNAcentral is "partial 16S ribosomal RNA". It matches the Rfam family "Bacterial small subunit ribosomal RNA", at positions 28 to 507 of the family's 1533-position model. The record is from RNAcentral.